This 703-nucleotide ribosomal RNA is filed under the name uncultured bacterium. RNAcentral describes it as "bacterial SSU rRNA". It matches the Rfam family "Bacterial small subunit ribosomal RNA", at positions 86 to 786 of the family's 1533-position model. The record is from RNAcentral.
GUGAGUCGAGCGGCGAACGGGUGAGUAACGCGUGGAUAACCUGCCCUGAGGUGGGGAAUAACCCGGGGAAACUCGGGCUAAUACCGCAUGAUACCGAGAGGUCAAAGAGGGCUCGCAAGGGCUCUUGCCACAGGAGGGGUCCGCGUUCGAUUAGCUAGUUGGUAGGGUAAUGGCCUACCAAGGCGACGAUCGAUAGCCGGCCUGAGAGGGUGAUCGGCCACACUGGAACUGAGACACGGUCCAGACUCCUACGGGAGGCAGCAGUGGAGAAUUUUGCGCAAUGGGCUAACGCCUGACGCAGCAACGCCGCGUGGAGGAUGAAGGUCUUUGGAUUGUAAACUCCUGUCAGCAGGGAAAAAGGGAAGAGACCUAAUACGUCUCUGACUUGAUUGUACCUGCAGAGGAAGCCCCGGCUAACUCUGUGCCAGCAGCCGCGGUAAUACAGAGGGGGCAAGCGUUAUUCGGAAUUAUUGGGCGUAAAGGGCGCGUAGGCGGCUUUUCAAGUGACGGGUGAAAUCCCUCGGCUUAACCGAGGAACUGCCUGUCAGACUGGAAGGCUUGAGACCGGGAGAGGUGAGUGGAAUUCCCAGUGUGGCGGUGAAAUGCGUACAUAUUGGGAGGAACACCAGUGGCGAACGCGGCUCACUGGACCGGAACUGACGCUGAGGCGCGAAAGCGUGGGGAGCAAACACGAUUACAUACC